Leopardus geoffroyi (Geoffroy's cat) is the source of this 2443-nucleotide long non-coding RNA. RefSeq lists it as uncharacterized. Lineage: Eukaryota; Metazoa; Chordata; Mammalia; Carnivora; Felidae. The transcript is spliced from 5 exons. The record is from RefSeq and is a predicted model, not a curated record.
GGGAGGGGAUGGGGGCAGAGGCCUGGUCUCAGCCGGCGUGGCUGCGUCCCUCUUCCCGUGGAAGACGGUGGCUCUGGAGAACCAUUACUGGCCCAUCAGGGGACGGGACGGGGCGGCGCGGGAGGGGGCCAUCCUGGGCCGUCUAGGGCCCUCGGGGCAAGGCGUACCGGCGCCCGCUCAGCCUUGGCUCUGGCAUCGUCGCCGCGCCCGGGAGGUUUCCGGUCACAGCACGUUUCUGGGCUUUUCUCUGCUUCCCAGGCCGUUCUCCAGCCGCCGCCCUUCCCUCCCUUAGCUGCUGGAACCCGCGCCCGAGGGGAGGAACGUCGGGGUCGUGUCCCUGGUGCUUGCUGGAGGGGUGGGGGGCACCCAGCGACCCACACGCCUACUGUGCGCUCUGUGCGGUGCGGGUGAGUGGGAUGGAGAGUGGAACACAGGCAACCGGGAGGACCCGGAGAGAGGGGCGGCUAUGGGGAGUCGUUGAGGGGGCCUGAGCAUGGAGGUGUGAGCUCCAGGGCGGAGGAGGCGUGGGCCCUGGGGGCGAUCUAGCCUCUGGCGGUGGAGACGUGGGCGCCCCAGGCAGAGGGAGUGAUGAGAUGGCGGCAGGGACACGGGCUUGCUGGGGUCAAGGACUGGAGGAGUGGGAGGGCGCCCGGAGGUUCCAGGCUAGUCCACCCUGCGGAGUCCGCCCGGUGCAAGGCGACGCUCCCAUGCCGGGCAACGUCACCUGGCCAAGGUGGCCUUUCUGAGCCGUGGGGGUCUUCGUGAGUAGGCGGGACAAUAGCUCACUGUUGUAAGGGUUUGUGAUCUGUGUGAAUGGCACUGUUGUGGUUUUCCCAGCAUCCCACUGCUUAACACACUUAGUCUUUUUCCCUUAUGGAAGGAGAUGGAAGUUGAUUUGUGGGGCUUCUCUGGAUACUGGGAACACAGAUAAGAGCCAAAUAGAGUCCGACAGAAUGGCUAAGCGGCCUCGGAAUAGGUGCCUGACCCAGGUGGCCAUCUGCUUCUGGGAUGCACAGCCCCCUGCAGCCUCCCUCUACGUUAAGGCCAGGGUCUCAACUUGUUUAUUCUUUUUAGAAGAUUCUGAAACAUCACAACAGUGGGAACUUACUGAUACCGACUGCAUCAGCACGGACACACGCACAAAGACAGGCAUUGGAGGGCAUUCUCUCUCUCAUAGAUGCCACCAGAUAUGUCUUUGCCGUCCUACGGCACCCGGAGCGAGCCGGACGUGUCUUGGGCUCUCACUAGUCACUUGCGGCUGCCACCAGUAGAUUGCACAUCUGUCCUCCCCUUCUGCGUCUUUCCAGGGUGACAACUUCCUACCCCCCAAAACCUAGUGACUUCAAGCCGGCCGUUUGUGCGUGAAAGGGCCAUCUGCGUGGGGCUCAGAGGGGGGCAGUUUUGCCGCCUGGGGUCACUUGUGAGGUGGCGGUCAGAUGGGAGCCUAUCGGGGAGGGUCCGUGGUGGCCUCACUCGCGUGGCUCGGUGGGUGCCGGCUCUCAGCUGGAGCCCCUCGGUUCUCCACGGAGCCCUCCACGUUCCCGUGGGCCAGGCCGGCUCUUAGCCGCACGGCUCCUUGGUUCUGAGUGGCCUUUCUUGCCAAGGCCCAGGAGGCACUUCUGCAUUCUGCGGACUAAAAACGUCACGGGGCCUCUGGAGGGUCAUGGGCACCAUCUUUUGAUAAGAGUGGCAAAAGUCACACCGCAAAAAAGGCACGCGGGAUGGGAGGGAUUGUUGUGGCUGUUUCACUAGCCCAUCCAGAGAGGCCUGUCGGGCUGUUCCCCGAUUUCACUUGGAACCGUCACUGGGAUGAUUGCUCUUGCCAUUUGAUGAAGCCCAUGUCUGCCAAGCUCUCUCCACUGUAAAGUCACUUUUUUCCAUUGCAAUUAUUGCACGUUUUGUGGGGAGGUCCUUUGAAACCUGUUCUUCAUGCACCUUCAGUUCACUUGUCUAUUUAUUUACAGGGGUGCGGCAUCACGGAUCUCUGUGCUGUUCUGUGGGUUGUCAUCCAUGUUUGUCGUGUUUUCUUUUGACACUCACAUUGUCCUCCGUCAGGCCUCUUGGAGCUGGCUGCUGCGUCCUUUUGGAACGUCCCCAUCAAUCUUUGAGCGCUUUCCUGCAUGAAGAGUAUGCGAAUAUUCUAGGUGGUUCUAGAGAUUCAGAUCCUGGUGUGCUUCCAUUUCCCAGCUAGAUGACCAUGGCAGGCUUCACACCCAGCACUGAGCCCAAGAUGAGGCUUGAAUUCACAACCCUGAGAUCAAGACCAGAGCUGAGACCCAAGAGUCAGAUGCUUAACCAACGGAACCACCCAGGUGCCCCAUCACAUAUGUUAAUUAAAUGCUUGCUAUGUGUCAGGCUCUGUUGUAGGCAAUGGGAUACAGCCAUUAAAACGCAGCUGCUUAAAAAAAAUUAUUGCAAAAUUAAAAAUGCAAUUAAUAAGGGA